Molecule: ribosomal RNA, 253 nt
Filed under: uncultured bacterium
Lineage: Bacteria
Description: partial 16S ribosomal RNA
Rfam family: Bacterial small subunit ribosomal RNA
Source: RNAcentral
UACGAGAGGCCCAAACGUUGUUCGGAAUUACUGGGCGUAAAGCGCGUGUAGGCGGCCCUGUAAGUCGGGUGUGAAAUCCCACGGCUCAACCGUGGAAGUGCAUUCGAAACUACAGGGCUAGAGUUCUGGAGAGGAAGGUGGAAUGCUUGGUGUAGAGGUGAAAUUCGUAGAUAUCAAGCGGAACACCGGUGGCGAAGGCGGCCGGCUGGACAGUAACUGACGCUGAGACGCGAAAGCGUGGGGAGCAAACAGG